GUCCAGGGCUACACACGUGUUACAAUGGCCGGUACAGAGGGCAGCCACCCCGCGAGGGGGCGCGAAUCCCGAAAGCCGGUCGCAGUUCGGAUCGGAGUCUGGAACCCGACUCCGUGAAGCUGGAUUCGCUAGUAAUCGCGCAUCAGCCAUGGCGCGGUGAAUACGUUCCCGGGUCUU
Molecule: ribosomal RNA, 177 nt
Filed under: uncultured Rikenellaceae bacterium
Lineage: Bacteria; Pseudomonadati; Bacteroidota; Bacteroidia; Bacteroidales; Rikenellaceae
Description: partial 16S ribosomal RNA
Rfam family: Bacterial small subunit ribosomal RNA
Source: RNAcentral